CCUGGGCUCAUGAGAUUUAUCUGCCUUAGUGGUAAAAUCCCAAAGGGGAGGGUGACAAAAAUCUGAUGAGUGGUGUGCUUGCAGAGGUGAUGUGCAGAUGUGCUUGCAUUGAUUAUGCCAGCGUGAUGACUGAUUUCAGCAGUACAGGCAAUGGUUAAGGUCACCCUUUGGCAAUGGUGUGAUUCUUAAAUCCCACUUAAGGUCCAUUUAGAGAGUUUCAGUGAGACUUCAGCAGUGUGUGAGAUCUGCCAAGAGUUUUUGUGCUGGAGGAGAGAGGGUUGACAGGAUCAGCCCUAACAUGUUAAGUGCUGUUUAUGGUAUUAUUACUGCUUUGUGAGUUCAUUUCCCGUAGAGACAGACUGGAGAUGAAAUGUUCAGAUUCAAACUUCCUCUCUGCUCUGGGGUGUCAGCUCCACGGCUUAGAUUUGCACCCAUAUAGUCAGUAUUGUGAUUAGAGACUAUAAACUGCAUGAGGAAUGCAAACAAUUCUCAUGAAAAGGCUAGGGAGAUAGUAUUUUCAGGAAUAAAAGGAACAUAAUCACCCUUCAUAGGUAAGAGAUGUUAUUUACACUAUGGGGAUUCAUGUCAGUACAUUUUAAGUAAGUUGCUUGGCUGAACUUGUUAUCUAGCUGCCAAGAACGGAAGUGAGAGAGAAGAGCCAGAUAGAAUUAUUGGACUCUACACUCCAAACUUACAUCAUGUAAACAUUUAUAAUAUGACUUUUAUUUUCAGCAUUGACCAUUCUCCUGGGGGUCUCUUUAUUGCUGGCAGGCUGCUUUUGAAGGCACCUUUUGGCUUAUUUGUGACGAUGCAGCAAGCCAGCAGACCUGGACCUACAAGAUUUCAGAUUUCUGAUGAUGCUACAAGUAUCUGACCCAGUGCAAUUAUGUGGGUAAACUCCUUAAGUUUUUCUUAGCAUUUUAUUGCAGUUCAUCAGUUUGUAC
RNAcentral lists this long non-coding RNA (944 nucleotides) under Cyanistes caeruleus (blue tit). RNAcentral describes it as "lncRNA (ENSCCEG00000019625.1)". Lineage: Eukaryota; Metazoa; Chordata; Aves; Passeriformes; Paridae. The record is from RNAcentral.